RNAcentral lists this ribosomal RNA (551 nucleotides) under uncultured eukaryote. RNAcentral describes it as "SSU rRNA". It matches the Rfam family "Eukaryotic small subunit ribosomal RNA", at positions 20 to 575 of the family's 1831-position model. The record is from RNAcentral.
GUAGUCAUAUGCUUGUCUCAAAGAUUAAGCCAUGCAAGUCUAAGUAUAAGNUUUUAUANANCGAAACUGCGAACGGCUCAUUAAAUCAGUUAUCGUUUAUUUGAUAGUACCUUACUACUUGGAUAACCGUGGUAAUUCUAGAGCUAAUACAUGCUAAAAACCCCGACUCACGAAGGGGUGUAUUUAUUAGAUUAAAAGCCAAUGCCCUUCGGGGCUCACUGGUGAUUCAUAAUAACUUGUCGAAUCGCAUGGCCUUGCGCCGGCGAUGGUUCAUUCAAAUUUCUGCCCUAUCAACUUUCGACGGCUGGGUCUUGGCCAGCCGUGGUGACAACGGGUAACGGAGGGUUAGGGCUCGACCCCGGAGAACGAGCCUGAGAAACGGCUAUUACAUCCAAGGAAGGCAGCAGGCGCGCAAAUUACCCUAUACCGACUCGGUGAGGUAGUGACGAUAAAUACUGAUACAGGGCUCUUUUGGGUCUUGUAAUUGGAAUGAGUACAAUUUAAAUCCCUUAACGAGGAACAAUUGGAGGGCAAGUCUGGUGCCAGCAGCC